Molecule: ribosomal RNA, 207 nt
Filed under: uncultured bacterium
Lineage: Bacteria
Description: partial 16S ribosomal RNA
Rfam family: Bacterial small subunit ribosomal RNA
Source: RNAcentral
CGCGUAGGCGGGGAUGCAAGUCAGAUGUGAAAUCUAUGGGCUUAACCCAUAAACUGCAUUUGAAACUGUAUCUCUUGAGUGUCGGAGAGGUAGACGGAAUUCCUAGUGUAGCGGUGAAAUGCGUAGAUAUUAGGAGGAACACCAGUGGCGAGGGCGGUCUACUGGACGAUAACUGACGCUGAGGCGCGAAAGCGUGGGGAGCAAACA